Molecule: transfer RNA, 49 nt
Filed under: Tetranychus malaysiensis
Lineage: Eukaryota; Metazoa; Arthropoda; Arachnida; Trombidiformes; Tetranychidae
Description: tRNA-Tyr
Source: RNAcentral
UUUUGAUUUUUUUGUGAAUUUAUUGUAAAUAAAUUUUUAUUAUCAAAUA